RNAcentral lists this ribosomal RNA (478 nucleotides) under uncultured bacterium. RNAcentral's name for it is "partial 16S ribosomal RNA". It matches the Rfam family "Bacterial small subunit ribosomal RNA", at positions 28 to 523 of the family's 1533-position model. The record is from RNAcentral.
GACGAACGCUGGCGGCGUGCUUAACACAUGCAAGUCGAACGGUAAGGCCCUUCGGGGUACACGAGUGGCGAACGGGUGAGUAACACGUGGGUGAUCUGCCCUGCACUUCGGGAUAAGCCUGGGAAACUGGGUCUAAUACCGGAUAGGACCACUGCCUGCAUGGGUGGUGGUGGAAAGCUUUUGCGGUGUGGGAUGGGCCCGCGGCCUAUCAGCUUGUUGGUGGGGUGAUGGCCUACCAAGGCGACGACGGGUAGCCGGCCUGAGAGGGUGACCGGCCACACUGGGACUGAGAUACGGCCCAGACUCCUACGGGAGGCAGCAGUGGGGAAUAUUGCACAAUGGGCGCAAGCCUGAUGCAGCGACGCCGCGUGUGGGAUGACGGCCUUCGGGUUGUAAACCUCUUUCAGCACCGACGAAGCGCAAGUGACGGUAGGUGCAGAAGGAGGACCGGCCAACUACGUGCCAGCCGCCGCGGUAA